This 828-nucleotide long non-coding RNA is filed under the name Homo sapiens (human). Its description in RNAcentral is "HSALNT0345621". Lineage: Eukaryota; Metazoa; Chordata; Mammalia; Primates; Hominidae. The record is from RNAcentral.
CAGCACCACUUCUAUAGAUUCAGUCGCCCAGCUCCGCGCGGCCUCAGGGGAAGACCGAGCUCAACCCACGCCCCGGGGCCCACAUGCUCCAGGGCCAAUUUCCGCUCUUCGAGGCCUCCGGGGAUGAGCCCAUUGGCCACAAGACCUGUCGUUCACAAGAGCAAGCUAUCUAAUUGGCCCAUCUGCAAGAGAGGCUCGUCCUUUCCAGCAGGUUCCCUGUGCAGGGGCGGUUCGUGCGGAAGGAGCGCUGGGAGUUAUGUGAACCUCAGCGUUAAAAUGUGUUAGGGUUUGGAGAUCCUGACUCCCUUUCUGGGGGCAACUCCUAUAAACAGAUUUAGCCUAAGACUCGCGUGUUGAAAUUGACUUGCCCCAUUCCUGCCAGUUAAGAGGAUUAGCGAUACAGGUGGUGAAAAAGAAACGAUGACACCCCUAAGACCUGAGCCCCUUCUGGGCCCCACACUCCACCUGUAGAACUCUGAUGGGGCCUUGUGCGGCCGAACCACAAUCCAAGAGAGGUGUUCACAUCAUGUGUCGCUAGCCACAGCCAUCUCAAGGGGAAAUGCCCCAAAUGUAGAAGUAUCUGACACCAGGACUGGGGGUUGGAGCACUGGAUGAACAGCGUGUGUGCCACUCUUUCACUGUGCACCGUCCUAAGAAAGAAGCCUGUUUCCCUUUGAAGAGCCUAGUGCUGACUGCCCAAUUCAAUCGGACCACGCAGGGCAGUCUGAGGAUUAAAAGAUGCUACCUUUAAUUCCUUCGGCUAAUUCAGAACAUUUUUUGAACAUGGCAGCAGCUACUAUGAAUUGUCUAUCCAACUGCCACUCCAGC